RNAcentral lists this unclassified non-coding RNA (220 nucleotides) under Tomentella cinerascens. RNAcentral's name for it is "partial internal transcribed spacer 2". The record is from RNAcentral. Lineage: Eukaryota; Fungi; Basidiomycota; Agaricomycetes; Thelephorales; Thelephoraceae.
ACACCUCAACUCUCAUGGUUUGCCAUGAUGAGCUUGGACUCUGGGGGUCUUGCUGGCUUAUGGUCAGCUCCUCUUAAAUGAAUCAGCUUUCCAGUGUUUGGUGGCAUCACAGGUGUGAUAACUAUCUACGCUUGUGGUGUCCUCCCAGGUAACCUUCGGGCAUGGAGGUCGCUGGAGCUAAUAAACGCACAUCUCUCAUUGUAGAGAUGGCUUUUUAGAU